GUCUCUCCUCAUAGGGCCUUGCCUGCAGGUCUCUUACCACACAAGUGGCCUCCUCUGAACCCUCUCAAGAUUCUCCGCAUCCCUCUUGAAGUGCGGCGCCCAAAAGUGGAUGUAGUACUCCAACUGCAGCCUGACUAGUGCCACAUAGAGGGUUGGCGGAUCUCCUCCAGCAGCCUUUAAACUAGGCUCGUUGGGGGAAGGGGAAGACGUGGGUGGAGGAAGCCUCAGACAAGCAAGCCAAGCAUCACCUGCAGGAGCAGCCCAGCCUAAACCGAUGACAAGAGAAGCAGGUAAUCAGAGCUUCCAACAGGAAAAGGUAGCGUGCCCAGCACAUAGGUGACUGCUUCGAGGGACGAGGAAGAGGGCAGAAGAAGAGCUGGAAGUGCUAGCCAGUGGGGUGGAGCAAUAGCCCGAGAAGAGCCCGAAGACAGAUUAUUGGAUGGGAGCGGCAAGCAGCCGUGUUCCUGAGCCCUGCCGUGAGGAGGUGUGGUGUCUAUGCUCAGCCAAUGAAUGGAGGGUCUAGAAGGGACUGAGACCCUGGGAGCUGCAUGAGGCAGCUAGGGUCUCCAACCUCCUGCAUGAGGCAGGGUGAGUGGUGCAUAGCCAGUGCACAGAGGGUCCAGGAGUGGACCAAGGCCCCAGAACUGCAUGUAGUGGCUUGAGUCCCCAACCCCAGCAUGAGAUAAGGCAUGAAGUGCACAGCUGGUGCACAGAGGGUCUGGGAGUGGACCGAGACCCCAGAGCUGCAUAAGGCGGCUCAGGUCUCCAACCCCUGGCACAAGGCAGGGCCAACAGUGCAUGGCGUGGUUCACAGGGACCUGAGAGGGCCAGAGGUUGGGAGAGCCCCAAAGCAGCUGAGAGCCCCCUGCCGAAGGAAGAGACACCUCACCUUGGAAGAUGAAGACAGCCUCACUGGGCCCUCGGAGGAGUCGUGAUUCCUGAGAAGAGGAUUCCCACGGGGGAGGAGGGUCUACCCCCGCCAUAAUGAGCAGUUGGAGUAUUUAGUUGGUUAAAGGAUCAGUUGGACUAUCUGGGGGCUCCCCACACCCCCCCUUCUCAUCUAGUACCACUCCUCCUAGAGCAUUGCUAUUGUUUUAAUACAGCUUUUUUUUUCUUCUUUAUUGCCCCCUGGGUCCUGCACCUCAUAUUUUGUGAAUCCUGUGCCUCACGCUUUGUAAAUUGGCGUUCUAUUAGAAUAUAAGAUUUGCAUGACUUCUAAUGAGACUCUUGCUUUGAUCCCCUUUUUGAUUCCUCAUCUGUAUAUAGUAUUUGCAUUGAUCUGUAUAUACGCUGUUUUACCUCCUAUAUCUUAUGUGUAAAUAUGUUAACCCUAUAACUUCUAUAUCUUAUUAAACUUGUACAUAGUUAAGCCUAA
Long non-coding RNA from Alligator mississippiensis (American alligator), 1375 nucleotides. RefSeq lists it as uncharacterized. NCBI's taxonomy places the organism in Eukaryota, Metazoa, Chordata, Crocodylia, Alligatoridae. The record is from RefSeq and is a predicted model, not a curated record. The transcript is spliced from 3 exons.